GAUGAACGCUAGCGGCAGGCUUAAUACAUGCAAGUCGAGGGGCAGCGCGGGUAGCAAUACCUGGCGGCGACCGGCAAACGGGUGCGGAACACGUACGCAACCUUCCCAUAACUGGUGAAUAGCCCUCCGAAAGGAGGAUUAAUACACCGUAACAUAACGAAGAGGCAUCUUUUUGUUAUUAUAGUAGCAAUACGGUUUUGGAUGGGCGUGCGCCUGAUUAGGUAGUUGGCGGGGUAACGGCCCACCAAGCCUGCGAUCAGUAACUGGUGUGAGAGCACGAACAGGCACACGGGAACGGGGACACGGGCCCGACUCCUACGGGAGGCAGCAGUAAGGAAUAUUGGUCAAUGGACGAAAGUCUGAACCAGCCAUGCCGCGUGAAGGAUUAAGGCCCUCUGGGUUGUAAACUUCUUUUAUCUGGGACGAAAAAAGGGCAUUCUUGCUCACUUGACGGUACCAGAGGAAUAAGCACCGGCUAACUCCGUGCCAGCCGCCGCCGUAA
RNAcentral lists this ribosomal RNA (502 nucleotides) under uncultured bacterium. Its description in RNAcentral is "partial 16S ribosomal RNA". It matches the Rfam family "Bacterial small subunit ribosomal RNA", at positions 28 to 523 of the family's 1533-position model. The record is from RNAcentral.